UACGUAGGGGGCAAGCGUUGUCCGGAAUCAUUGGGCGUAAAGAGCGUGUAGGCGGCUCGGUAAGUCCGCUGUGAAAGUCCAGGGCUCAACCCUGGAAUGCCGGUGGAAACUGUCGAGCUAGAGUCCGGAAGAGGCGAGUGGAAUUCCUGGUGUAGCGGUGAAAUGCGCAGAUAUCAUUUGGAACGCCAAUGGUGAAAACAGGUCGCUGGGGCCGCGCUGACGCUGAGACACGAAAGCCAGGGGAGCGAACGGG
This 253-nucleotide ribosomal RNA is filed under the name uncultured bacterium. RNAcentral describes it as "partial 16S ribosomal RNA". It matches the Rfam family "Bacterial small subunit ribosomal RNA", at positions 524 to 776 of the family's 1533-position model. The record is from RNAcentral.